GAUUAAUCUAAGUUUAUAUUUGAUGUGUUUGUAUUAUUUUAGAAUUUACUGUUUUAGACACGCGGCAUGUGGUAUCCCACUACACUUGGUAUAAGCUGUCAUACUAAUUUGCUGUUUUAGACACGUGGCUUGUGAUAUCCCACUAAUUAGCUAUUUUAAACAUGUGACAAGUGGUAUGACACUGUAUUGAUGUAUGUGAAAUGUAUAGAGUCUUUCAGUAAUCAGAUAAUGUCAAGG
Molecule: long non-coding RNA, 237 nt
Organism: Hydra vulgaris (swiftwater hydra)
Lineage: Eukaryota; Metazoa; Cnidaria; Hydrozoa; Anthoathecata; Hydridae
Source: RefSeq, a predicted model, not a curated record